Molecule: ribosomal RNA, 300 nt
Filed under: Triticum aestivum (bread wheat)
Lineage: Eukaryota; Viridiplantae; Streptophyta; Magnoliopsida; Poales; Poaceae
Description: partial small subunit ribosomal RNA
Source: RNAcentral
AUGACGGAUGGCACAGAUUCAACUGGUGGGAAUGUGUACACACAAAUGCGUGCUUCUGUUCAAAAAGGACCUUCGUUUCUACCGAAUUUGCUUCUGAAUGUGCCAUCAAACGACGGCCACCCCUCUCCCAUCUCCCCUGUUGCUUCCAGACGGCGGCGGCGCUUCAGAUCCGGUGCCAAGCGCCUCUUCCUUCCCCUUCCUAGCUACUCUUACUCAAGGCCACCUGAUUCCUCUUACUGGCCGACACCGGAAUCACGCUCCAGAUAUUCGAGCGGCAACUGGCCGCCGUCACGACGGUGA